UUGGCCUUGACAUACUAAGAACUUUCCAGAGAUGGAUUGGUGCCUUCGGGAACUUAGAUACAGGUGCUGCAUGGCUGUCGUCAGCUCGUGUCGUGAGAUGUUGGGUUAAGUCCGCAACGAGCGCAACCCUUUUCCUUAUUUGCCAGCGGGUCAUGCCGGGAACUUUAAGGAUACUGCCAGUGACAAACUGGAGGAAGGCGGGGACGACGUCAAGUCAUCAUGGCCCUUACGGCCAGGGCUACACACGUGCUACAAUGGUCGGUACAAAGGGUUGCUACCUCGCGAGAGGAUGCUAAUCUCAAAAAGCCGAUCGUAGUCCGGAUCGCAGUCUGCAACUCGACUGCGUGAAGUCGGAAUCGCUAGUAAUCGCGGAUCAGAAUGCCGCGGUGAAUACGUUCCCGGGCCUUGUACACACCGCCCGUCACACCAUGGGAGUUUGUUGCACCAGAAGUAGGUAGUCUAACCGCAAGGAGGACGCUUACCACGGUGUGGCCGAUGACUGGGGUGAAGUCGUAACAAGGUAAGCGUACUACA
Molecule: ribosomal RNA, 534 nt
Filed under: uncultured bacterium
Lineage: Bacteria
Description: bacterial SSU rRNA
Rfam family: Bacterial small subunit ribosomal RNA
Source: RNAcentral